Molecule: transfer RNA, 72 nt
Filed under: Aspergillus nidulans
Lineage: Eukaryota; Fungi; Ascomycota; Eurotiomycetes; Eurotiales; Aspergillaceae
Also listed under: 1 other name
Description: tRNA-Thr
Rfam family: tRNA
About the family: Transfer RNA (tRNA) molecules are approximately 80 nucleotides in length. Their secondary structure includes four short double-helical elements and three loops (D, anti-codon, and T loops).
Source: RNAcentral
GCCCUUAUAGCUCAGUGGUAGAGCGUUGCACUUGUAAUGCAAAGGUCCAUCGUUCAAUCCGGUGUGGGGGCA